RNAcentral lists this ribosomal RNA (468 nucleotides) under uncultured bacterium. RNAcentral's name for it is "partial 16S ribosomal RNA". It matches the Rfam family "Bacterial small subunit ribosomal RNA", at positions 28 to 507 of the family's 1533-position model. The record is from RNAcentral.
GACGAACGCUGGCGGCGUGCUUAACACAUGCAAGUCGAACGGAAAGGCCCUGCUUCUUGCUUGUGUCCGACUUGCUAGCGGGCGAGUAACACGUGAGUAACCAACCCUCGAUUUUGGGAUAACUUAAAGAAACUAACGCUAAUACCUGCUACGUGCUCCUGCUUCAUGGUGUGGGGUGGAAAUGUUCGGCGGUUGGGGUUGGUCUCGCGGCUAAUCAGCUGGGUGGUGGGGUAGUGGCUUACCAAGGCGGUGACGGGUAGCCGGCCUGAGAGGGUGACAGGCCCCAUAGGGACUGGGAUAGGGCCAAGACGCAUACGGGAGGAAGCGGUGGGGAAUAUUGCAAACAAGGCGGAGGCAGGAAGGAGGACCUCCGCGUGGGGGAUGACGGCUUUCGGGGUGUAAAGGGCUUUGGGCUAAGAGGAAGAGUGAGUGACGGUAACGGGUAAAGAAGCAACGGCUAACUACGUG